GCCAUUCCGCGUGAGUGAAGAAGGCCUUCGGGUUGUAAAGCUCUUUCGGCAGGAACGAAACGGCGAGCUCUAACAUAGCUCGCUAAUGACGGUACCUGAAGAAGAAGCACCGGCUAACUACGUGCCAGCAGCCGCGGUAAUACGUAGGGUGCGAGCGUUAAUCGGAAUUACUGGGCGUAAAGCGUGCGCAGGCGGUUGUGUAAGACAGGUGUGAAAUCCCCGGGCUUAACCUGGGAACUGCGCUUGUGACUGCACGACUAGAGUAUGGCAGAGGGGGGUGGAAUUCCACGUGUAGCAGUGAAAUGCGUAGAGAUGUGGAGGAACACCGAUGGCGAAGGCAGCCCCCUGGGCCAAUACUGACGCUCAUGCACGAAAGCGUGGGGAGCAAACAGGAUUAGAUACCCUGGUAGUCCACGCCCUAAACGAUGUCGACUAGGUGUUCGGUGAGGAGACUCAUUGAGUACCGCAGCUAACGCGU
This 478-nucleotide ribosomal RNA is filed under the name Methyloversatilis sp. Its description in RNAcentral is "bacterial SSU rRNA". It matches the Rfam family "Bacterial small subunit ribosomal RNA", at positions 391 to 860 of the family's 1533-position model. The record is from RNAcentral. Lineage: Bacteria; Pseudomonadati; Pseudomonadota; Betaproteobacteria; Nitrosomonadales; Sterolibacteriaceae.